GACGAACGCUGGCGGCGUGCUUAACACAUGCAAGUCGAACGGAAAGGCCCUGCUUUUGUGGGGUGCUCGAGUGGCGAACGGGUGAGUAACACGUGAGUAACCUGCCCUUGACUUUGGGAUAACUUCAGGAAACUGGGGCUAAUACCGGAUAGGAGCUCCUGCUGCAUGGUGGGGGUUGGAAAGUUUCGGCGGUUGGGGAUGGACUCGCGGCUUAUCAGCUUGUUGGUGGGGUAGUGGCUUACCAAGGCUUUGACGGGUAGCCGGCCUGAGAGGGUGACCGGCCACAUUGGGACUGAGAUACGGCCCAGGAUCCUACGGGAGGCAGCAGUGGGGAAUAUUGCACCAUGGGCGGAAGCCUGAUGCAGCAACGCCGCGUGCGGGAUGACGGCCUUCGGGUUGUAAACCGCUUUCGCCUGUGACGAAGCGUGAGUGAAGGUAAUGGGUAAAGAAGGACCGGCUAACUACGUG
This 468-nucleotide ribosomal RNA is filed under the name uncultured bacterium. RNAcentral's name for it is "partial 16S ribosomal RNA". It matches the Rfam family "Bacterial small subunit ribosomal RNA", at positions 28 to 507 of the family's 1533-position model. The record is from RNAcentral.